CUCUACAUUCACUUCACUGACAUUCAAAGCAACGGAGCACAGCAAAGAAAACCACAAUCAAAAGAAUGGAUCGCAGGCAGAGAGCAUCUGAGGCUGUUGUGAUGUUGCAGCCUCAGCAUCCACAUGCAUAUUAUCCAUCCAGCUCAGGCCAGUCAGUCCAGCAAGGCCCCUACAAUCAAGGGCCACUUCCAGGACAAACUGUGGUCACGAUGCAGACUGAAGAUUUUGAGCCCGCCGCACCACUGUCGGAUCACUUGUGCUACUCCAUCUUCACCAUGCUUUGCUGCUGCAGUCCUCUGGGCAUCGCAGCGCUGGUAUUUUCCCUCUCUACCCGAAAUGCCAACGGAGCUGGACACAGAGAAUUAGCUGUGAGGAACUCCAAAACGGCACGCACCCUGAAUAAUACCGCCUGUUGUCUUGGCAUUGUUUUGAUUGUAUUUAUUGUUGUCUUUGAGUUAGUGUUACUUGAAAAACUAAAAAACCUAAAUUAUUUGGAAAAGAAUUCCCAAAACUGAGUUGAUGUCAUACUGUAAAGCAAAUACGCAUAAAUUACAGUUUUUUUUUAUUUUGUUAAACAUGUUUUUAUUUUCCCCCUAUAUAUUUAUGCUUUGAGUUGCAUUAUGGGACCUUUUAACCAUGAAAAGUGAUUUUAAGAACAUUUUUAAUAGUUUAAAGUGAUAUAUUGUCUGGGUUGGUGUUGUAUUUUAUGCAACAAAAACCUUGUAAUAAACUGCUGGUACAUUUUCUCUUUUUUUACAGAAUUAUUUCUCUAUAUAUAAUUUUUUAUACAUA
Molecule: non-coding RNA, 792 nt
Organism: Danio rerio (zebrafish)
Lineage: Eukaryota; Metazoa; Chordata; Actinopteri; Cypriniformes; Danionidae
Source: Ensembl